This 375-nucleotide ribosomal RNA is filed under the name uncultured soil bacterium. RNAcentral describes it as "bacterial SSU rRNA". It matches the Rfam family "Bacterial small subunit ribosomal RNA", at positions 26 to 383 of the family's 1533-position model. The record is from RNAcentral.
AGAAUGAACGCUGGCGGCGUGCUUAACACAUGCAAGUCGAGCGAGGCGGAAGGGGGCAACUCCUUCCAGUCGAGCGGCGGACGGGUGAGUAACACGUGGGUAACCUGCCCGGAAGUGGGGAAUACCUCGGGGAAACUCGAGCUAAUACCGCAUGACAUCUUCGGGACGACAGUCCUGAUGAUCAAAGCGGGGUCGCAAGAUCUCGCGCUACCGGAUGGGCCCGCGCCCGAUUAGCUAGUUGGUGAGGUAACGGCUCACCAAGGCUUCGAUCGGUAACCGGCCUGAGACGGGCGAGUCGGUACGACACCGGAACUGAGACACGGUCCGGACUCCUACGGGAGCAGCAGUGGGAAUCUUGCGCAAUGGGCGAAAGCC